Molecule: ribosomal RNA, 253 nt
Filed under: uncultured bacterium
Lineage: Bacteria
Description: partial 16S ribosomal RNA
Rfam family: Bacterial small subunit ribosomal RNA
Source: RNAcentral
UACAGAGGGUGCAAGCGUUGCUCGGAAUCAUUGGGCGUAAAGCGCGCGUAGGCGGCCCGGUAAGUCCGUUGUGAAAGUCAAAGGCUCAACCUUUGAAUGCCGAUGGAUACUGCCGGGCUCGAGUCCGGAAGAGGCGAGUGGAAUUCCUGGUGUAGCGGUGGAAUGCGCAGAUAUCAGGAGGAACACCAAUAGCGAAGGCAGCUCGCUGGGACGGUACUGACGCUAAGGCGCGAAAGCGUGGGGAGCGAACAGG